This 465-nucleotide ribosomal RNA is filed under the name uncultured bacterium. Its description in RNAcentral is "partial 16S ribosomal RNA". It matches the Rfam family "Bacterial small subunit ribosomal RNA", at positions 28 to 507 of the family's 1533-position model. The record is from RNAcentral.
GACGAACGCUGGCGGCGUGCUUAACACAUGCAAGUCGAGCGAGGCCCCUCCUUCGGGAGGGUGUCCUAGCGGCGAACGGGUGAGCAACACGUGGGCAACCUGCCCUCAGCUCUGGGAUAACUCCGGGAAACCGGGGCUAAUACCGGAUACGACCUCCACGGGCAUCUGCGGAGGUGGAAAGUUUUUCGGCUGAGGAUGGGCCCGCGGCCUAUCAGCUAGUUGGUGGGGUAGUGGCCCACCAAGGCGACGACGGGUAGCCGGCCUGAGAGGGCGACCGGCCACACUGGGACUGAGACACGGCCCAGACUCCUACGGGAGGCAGCAGUGGGGAAUAUUGCGCAAUGGGCGAAAGCCUGACGCAGCGACGCCGCGUGAGGGACGAAGGCCUUCGGGUUGUAAACCUCUUUCAGCAGGGACGAAGCGAAAGUGACGGUACCUGCAGAAGAAGCACCGGCCAACUACGUG